GACAUUUUGCCACACUUUCACAGGGCAUACUUCCUCUCGGCCGGCUGCCUCCCCGGGGCCAUCUGUGACAUCUGAGCCAUCUGGCCUGAAUGCUCUCCCAGAACGAGAAUUUCACGGUGAAGUGCUCAGAACUUAUAACAUCAUAAAACUAACCGUACAACAGAUAGCAAGCUCCAUGGACACGUCACUUGCCGCUUGUAGAACUGCCUCAGCACCUUGCUCCGCUAGUCUCAAGCCCCUUCGAAGAUGUGGAUGCCUUGAUGGAGUUCGAGAAGUCACUUACUAAGGAAAAUGAAGACGUCCUGAUCAGCGAGCUGAUCCAGCUUGGUGGCGUGAACCCAAACAUCGCAGUGAAGCGCAUACUCAUAUAUCUUUUUGCUGACUCCUUGGCUGCCCAAUUUUCCCGGCAUGGCAAGAAGGGGAAAAGGAAAUUUUCAGAACUCAAACUGUGCCAGUGCCUGUUCAGUGCUAUAAGGAAACGUUUCCCAAGCAGCACAAGGGAUGACGUCGAGAGCAGCGCGAAGUCAUGGCUCCGCCACGCCCCAGAGAGGGCUUAUGGCAAAGGCAGCGAAAAUUGAAAACAGUGUUGUCAAGUUGCAGACCUCAGCUCCAAGACAAAAGUGUGAUGCAGGCGACUUGUCGCAGCCUUCUUCGAAAGCGCGGAGCACAAUCUCAUGGACACCACCGCCAUCUCGUUGUUGACUCUGCUUCUCAUUUCUUCUCAUCUGCCAACUUCGUCAUCACUACAGUAACAUUCCUAAAUUUUGUCGCGCAUUGCUGUAGGCACGAGCUCUUGAGCCUGGUCAUUGCCAUUUUUUGUAGUUCCAACCUCGAUACCACAGUGGCAGAAACUGCAAGAUUUUAGCCACCAUAACUUAACGCCAAGCCUGCACCAACAUGCGCGUAGCUGUGUGCAGUGUUUCUAUGUAUUUCUUUUUGCUAACCGUGUAAAAUACCAUUGUUUCAAUCAUGUGGCCACUGUAGAGCCAAAAUCACAAAAUCUGAAUGACAUCCAAGUUCACAAAAUAGCUACUUAAGUUCGAGAAAAAAGUAGCACUCCGCAGCAAUAAGUUUUUAUCGUUGACAAUUUUUAGCACGGAAGGUGGACAAAGGGUUGAGAGCUACUAACCUGGUUUUACUCUUUCUAAACAUGACAUGACUAGAGGCAAUAGGCCUGGCCAUUAUCAGCGUCAUUGUUCUGAUGAUUUUCUGAUUGAUGAUUGAUGUUCUGUGACUACAGUUUUUCUGUUAUUUUAUGCACCUAUUGUAACCCUGUCAGUAAUGCUUUUAAGCAUCGUUGCAUCAUUUUGGUACCGUAGAAACCGCAAUAUAGGUCGGACCGGAUUAUAGGUUGACCCCCCGACUUUUAACUACUGAAAAUCGAAAAUAAAGUACAUGGU
Long non-coding RNA from Rhipicephalus sanguineus (brown dog tick), 1400 nucleotides. RefSeq lists it as uncharacterized. Lineage: Eukaryota; Metazoa; Arthropoda; Arachnida; Ixodida; Ixodidae. The transcript has 5 exons. The record is from RefSeq and is a predicted model, not a curated record.